Small nuclear RNA from Heterocephalus glaber (naked mole-rat), 107 nucleotides. Lineage: Eukaryota; Metazoa; Chordata; Mammalia; Rodentia; Bathyergidae. The record is from Ensembl.
GUGCUCCCUUCAGCAGCACAUCCACUAAAACUGGAACCAUACAGAGAAGAUUAUUGAAGGCCCUGGAGGGGGGGGACACGAAAAUUUGCCACUUGGUCGAUAUUUUU